AGUGGCUCUCCAGGAAUCCUCCAGGCCUUCAGUACCAGAUUGGGAGUAAAGAGGAAACUAGACUGAGUGUGUACAUUGCUAAGAACUGAAAAUGGAAAACCAAGUGCAAUCAGUUAGACUUUGAAGAUAUUCAAGGAUUGUUGUCAGCAUCACUUUGAGGAAGAGUUUUCAAAGAACAUUGGUGACAAUGACAGAAGUGGCUCCUGUAAGUGGAACAGUUACACAGUCCUGAAAGUGUAAAAAUACAGCAACAUGUCAGUUAUGCUUUGUUUUGACAUGAUUCAGAACAGAGCUUGAGCAUCAGAAUGCAGUUCACCAAGGUGAGUUUUCAGAGAUCUCUGCUUCCUGGUCUCCACCUUGUGAAUGCUGUAAGAAUAGCUGAACACGAAGGGUGGAGGUGUGUUGGAACACUGUGUAGUUCCCAUCUCCACAAGAAGAUGGGCCAAUGAUGACUCCUUCUUUGGGGGUUGCAGGCCUGGAGAAGAUGGGAGAAGGACAGUGUCAUCUUCUGCGCACCAUGCCAUCUUUGUCAAGUCUCUUGAGCCUUUAAGUUUUACUUUCGUCUCUUCCAUCAUCAUACAUGUAAUAACACAUAUCAAAAGCCUCCUGUGAAAUAGAAAAAGACAAAACCACCAUCUAUGAAAGACAGAAAGGACAGCCGAGAAGGCCAAACAUGGUGGACAACAUCCUGCAACAAGAGCACCCAAGAUGCCCCUUGUCUUUUACAAAAACCCACAGGGAUCUUUAGCCAAGUAAAAUCAUAGCUGCAGAAAAGGGCUGGGGGAUGAGCCUUUGAAGUUACCAGGAAAGGCACUGGAGCCAGCUUGCGACCGAACUUCCAAGAAGUAAACAGGCUAUAGAGCAGUCCAAUACCACCUACAGCUUCACAGUCCACUAUUAAUUACCCUGAGCAUUUGUUUGUAUCAUCUGAAAUACUUCUGUAUUGCUUUGUAAUGAAUGUCUUUCCCCUAGACAUGGAUGUGGUAUGUCCCUUAAAUGUUACUGUAUUG
This is a long non-coding RNA of Mastomys coucha (southern multimammate mouse), 1010 nucleotides long. RefSeq lists it as uncharacterized. Lineage: Eukaryota; Metazoa; Chordata; Mammalia; Rodentia; Muridae. The transcript is spliced from 3 exons. The record is from RefSeq and is a predicted model, not a curated record.